This 253-nucleotide ribosomal RNA is filed under the name uncultured bacterium. RNAcentral describes it as "partial 16S ribosomal RNA". It matches the Rfam family "Bacterial small subunit ribosomal RNA", at positions 524 to 776 of the family's 1533-position model. The record is from RNAcentral.
UACGUAGGGGGCGAGCGUUGUCCGGAUUUAUUGGGCGUAAAGAGCGUGUAGGCGGCCAGGUAGGUCUGCUGUGAAAACUCGAGGCUCAACCUCGAGACGUCGGCGGAAACCAUCUGGCUAGAGUCCGGAAGAGGAGAGUGGAAUUCCUGGUGUAGCGGUGAAAUGCGCAGAUAUCAGGAAGAACACCCGUGGCGAAGGCGGCUCUCUGGGACGGUACUGGCGCUGAGACGCGAAAGCGUGGGGAGCGAACAGG